AGAACGAACGCUGGCGGCAGGCCUCAAACAUGCAAGUCUAGGGGGUGUAGCAAUACAUCACCGGCGGACGGGUGCGUAACACGUGGGAAUAUACCUUUUGGUUCGGAACAACGCAGGGAAACUUGCGCUAAUACCGAAUGUGCCCUUACGGGGAAAGAUUUAUCGCCAAAGGAUUAGCCCGCGUAGGAUUAGCUAGUUGGUGAGGUAAUGGCUCACCAAGGCUCCGAUCCUUAGCUGUUCUGAGAGGAAGAUCAGCCACACUGGGACUGAGACACGGCCCAGACUCCUACGGGAGGCAGCAGUUGGGAAUCUUGGACAAUGGGGAAACCCUGAUCCAGCCAUGCCGCGUGAGUGAUGAAGGCCUUCGGGUUGUAAACUCGUUUCGACGGGGACGAUAAUGACGGUACCCGUAGAAGAAGCGUCCGGCUAACUUCGCGCCAGCAGCCGC
RNAcentral lists this ribosomal RNA (448 nucleotides) under uncultured bacterium. RNAcentral describes it as "SSU rRNA". It matches the Rfam family "Bacterial small subunit ribosomal RNA", at positions 26 to 518 of the family's 1533-position model. The record is from RNAcentral.